AGCAGGCAUCUUCUCAGCCUACAUGUGGAUUCCUAAAUCUGCAGGCUGGUUAGAUGGUUGUCAUGCAUUCAUCUGAUAACUGC
Molecule: microRNA precursor, 83 nt
Organism: Chrysolophus pictus (golden pheasant)
Lineage: Eukaryota; Metazoa; Chordata; Aves; Galliformes; Phasianidae
Source: Ensembl